UGCGUAUGUGCAUUAGCUGUAAAAGAGAACAACUUGGUUAUUUAAUAGAUUAGCAGUUAGAGUUUGAUUGAGACUCCAAUGCUUAUCCUUAAUCAAUUUGAGUCCUUAACUAAUACAAACUCCAACCGUUAUCCUAGCUUAGGAUUGUGUUCUCUUCUAAUAAGGAGACUGUCCUCCUUAGAAAUCAAUGCAAUAUUUUCGAUCAGUUUAGAAGAUAUUUGUUGCGUGAUCUUCAAUGCAAAUCUUCCUCACAUGCCUCCCAUGUGCCACAGUUAUAACAAAUGUGUCUCCCAAGAUGGCCCAGGUCCAUCCCUGAGUUCAUUUGUCAAUUGUCACAAUUUCAACUGAACUUGGGCCAAAAAAGAGAAAUAAAAUGAGCUAGCGUUAUUGGUAAAAACCUUCACGGGCAGUGUAAGGUGAUGAGGGCUGAGAGAAAUAACAAUGAGAGAGCUUAUUGGUGAAAACUCUCACGGGUACCUUAAGGUGAAAAUGAGUUAAGAAGUGAAAUGAGAAAGGUCGGUUGGUGGAAAACUGUUUCGAGGCACUGCAGGAUGAACAAGGUCAAGGUUUGGGUAAAGUAAUCUUUUUAUUGGAAAUUCUGAGGCAACUAAGUAUGGAAAUUGAAAGUUGAUUAGUUGGACAGGUUGGUCUGACUAGUCCGAAAUGCAUGCCAUGAUCAUCGGUACCAGUUAUUACAUUCAGAUAAUUUUCUUUUCCUCGUCUUUUUAGUAGUCAUCCGGUUUUGGGUUCUUCUUAUCCUUAACUCGCAAAAUUAUUGCAUUUCAUUUUAUUUUGGGGUUUAUUUGUCUAAGAUAUUUUAAUGUUAGUCAUGUUCAAAGCAAGUAGAAAGGAAUUUCAAAGCUCUCUAACAACUUCAAAAAUUGCAAAGCAGUGUGGCCAGAGCAAUACUAAAGACAACAUGAUGUAAAAUAGGAUACAGGGAAUCACUGGAAGUUUCAUUGGUGGAAUGGUUUGGUAAUGUCAGGGGGAUGCAAAGGUUCAGAUAGUGGGUCAGAGGUGUGAAACAACAGCAUGUAUAUAGAACACUUGGGUCGUCAAAGGUCAGGGGGUUUGAAAGUCAGUUAGAAAGUCAAGCGGUUCAGGGCCAGUGAGGGGAAGACAGUCAAAACAAAACAAUGCAGUGGAAAGAUCUUCAGCAAGAAUGCCAUCAGCUAACCACAAUUUUAAACUGACAAAAUAUUCUUUGAUUGAAACAGGGGCAGAAAAUUUCAUUUGUUUCGGAGGAAAUCUCCGCAAGGAAAGGCAGGCAUCAAGCAGGUUUGACAGUAAGUUUCAGGACCCUCCUGGAAAAUGGUACCUACUUUAAUUUCAAAACAAUCAUGAGUAGCAUAAUUUAGCAUAAAUGUAUUCCAGAGGAAUAUAAGUUGGUAUUCAUUUUUAAGAUAUGAUUCAAUUAGCAGCUUUCAGGACCCUUCUAAAUAAUGGGAUGUAGUUUUAAGAUUAUUUAUAGAUAAUAGGAUUUAGUGUAGGUACUAUUGUAGGGUAAUAUAAUUCAGCUGUAAAAUUGUCACUCUUAAGAUAAGACAUGAAUUUUGAUUUUUAGGACCCUCCUGGAUAAUGGGACGUAGUCUUAAAGUCUGCUUAGAUAACAAGAUAUAGUGGAAGUCGUACCUUCAGUAGAUAUAACUUAGGUUAGAACUGUGUUUUAGAUAUCAAAUGUAGUGGGAGUAAUACCUUUAGAAGAUAUAACAUAGGUUCGUAAUUAUUAGGAGUUGUUAGGACCUCCCUAGAUAAUAGGACUCAGCUUUCAAAUUCUUAUAAUAGUGGGUAAAAUAAUUCCGUUUAACACUCACCCAUGUGCCCAUCUACCAAACUGGGACAGGAAAUUUUCUUUAUUUUGUCUAUUUUGUUAAACUCAAGGGCCCGCCUAGAGAACAGAGGCAGACAUUUCAAGUUUCAGAAGUUAGGAGCCCGCCUGGAGAAUAGAGGCAUACAUUUCAAGUUUCAGCAAUCAGCAGCCGCAUACAUUUCAAGUUUCAAAAGUUAGGAGACUGCCCCGAGAACAGAGGCAUACAUUUCAAGUUUCAACAGUCACGAACCCGCAUGGAGAACAGAGGUAUACAUUUCAAGUUUCAGCUGUCAGGAGUCCGCCUGGAGAACUGAGGCAUACAUUUCAAGUUUCAGCAGUCAGGAGCCCGCCUGGAGAACAGAGGCAUACAUUUCAAGAUUCAGAAGCCAGGAGGCCGCCUAGAGAACAGAGGAAUACAUUUCAAGUUAUAGAAGUCAGGAUCCCACCUGGAGAACAGAGGCAUACAUUUCAGGUUCAGCAGUCAGGAGCUCUCCAGGAGAACAGAGGCAUACAUUCAAGUUUUGAAGCCGGGAGCCCGCCUAGAUAGCACACGAAUAUAUUUAAGUUUUGAAGUCAGAGGAAUACAUUCAAGUUUUGAAAUCAUGAGCACGCCUGGAUAGCAUAGGAAUAUAUUCAAGUACAGUAGUUAGGCAUCCACCAGAAGAAGAGGAAAACAUCUCAGCUUUAGCGGCAACAAUGGAUUUCACCGAGAGAAUACAAGACAACAAGGCAACAAGAAAUACAAGAGCAAGUUUGAAGAUCUAGAUAUGAUUUUUAUAAUUCAUAGAUCAUAACUUAGUCUAGCUUCUUUUAUUUUGACAUGGUAUAAUAAAUGGAUUCAGUAAGCAGUAGCAGCAGCAGCAGUGAAAUCACAGCUUCAUGGUAGUCCCAGCUACCAGACAUUCCUGAACUACACUAACCUGAUUUCUUUUUAGCCAAGGAUAUGUAGGCAACCUCAUAGGUAGGGUGCGGUCAAAUCUUCCAAAGAUGCUUCACACAGAGUAUUCAAACGGGAAAAAAACACUCGUAUCUGCUCACUUUAUCUUUGCCCGAAAACUGUUCAUGUUUUCGAGCAAAGAAGGACAGAUGUGAGCACGUAAUUUUUUUCAUGUUUUCGAGCAAAGAAGGACAGAUGUGAGCACGUAAUUUUUGCCCUAUAUGAAAUACUCCCAUAAAUUCAAAACAAAAUAAUUUCUUUCAGUAUUUAUAAUUUUGUGGCAUUUUAUGCUAAUUGUUUGCAUAGUGCCUCUGCAUUUUAAUUAAUGAAAAAUAUAAAAAACAUAUGUGCAUUUGUAUUUAGGAUUUAAUUUGAUAGUUUAGGAUUAGUUAAUUAAUUAAAGUUGUUUUAUAAAAAGGAAACUCAAAAAUAAUGUAUUUUGCACUUUUAAUUCUUAUCUGUAACUAGUUCCCCGUUAAAUUUGUUUUAAUAAAUUGUGUUAACUAUCAUUUAGGUUUAAUUAGUGACAUUAUAUAGUUAAUUAGCUUCCAAGAUUUAAUUGAGGAAUUUUAGUAAUUUUGAGAAAAGAAAAGGAAAAGGAUUUGUGGUUAAAUUGGUUUUGAAAGAGGAUUUUAUGUUUUUGGGAUGUUCUUUAAAAUUAAAUCUCCAGGCCCAGAUUUUCACCCCAAACCCGUUCUUCCCAUCGAAACUCAUUCCCUGACCAGGUCCAUUCUGUGCUAGCCCAAAACGACUUAGUUUCAGUAUUAAACUACGACGUUUCAUUUGUCUCUAUCAUUAAACGACCGAAUCAACCUCUGGUCAUUCAUUUCACCUCAUUCCAAAUAAAGAAAACCUAAUUUCUCUACUCUCUCAAAUCACCACCUCCCUCUGUCGUAACUCCAUCGUCCGAAAUUGCCUCACAGCGGUGGAGCUCCUCCAAACACAAUCAAAUCGUAGCCAGCCGACCCCCGUCGUCUCUUCUUUCAUGUCCAGCUGCUACUUUGUCCAAAAGACCACCGGAUUAUUCCUAAUUUCGGAUCAAAGGUUAAAAAUCCAAGCUUUCUUCUCUUUGCCUAAACUUUUCCAGAUUAAGUCUUUAGUUCGUGUUAAUGCUUGCAUGAACCCCUCAGUUCUUCAUCAAGGAAGGUCUGAUCAUUGCCAAGAACGCUCUGACCUUCAACCAUGGCUGUAUUUCAGGCAUGUUCUUUGAAACGAUUCACUUCCUUCUAGAUUCUGCUUCGUUUCUUUCCAAACUCAUGAUGAGAAUUGUGGUAUGAAUUAUAAGCUAUGAACGAAGGUUCAGUUAAUAUUCGCAUUACAGUUUCACCAGUGAGUCCAGCAUUAGAGUUCAUUGGAGUUUCGAUUUUGGGUCAGCCUCAUCAUUGAGGAUUUUGAAGUUUUUAACGAAUUGUGGAUGUCUCUCUAUCUUUCGGUAUGUUUUAUUCCUCCCUUUAGUUCAACAUUUGGUCUUUGGUUCCCUCUAUUUUUCUGUAAGAUUAAAUUAGAUUUGUUAAUAAGUAGUUUAGUGUUAAUUUUCAUUUAAAACUUUUAUUCAAAAAAAUAAAAGAAGAGGAAAAGAAAUUGAUUAAUUGUAAGUGUUGUUUCAAUUCCGAAUUUGGAAGACAUUUCACUCCUUUAAGUUGAGUUUUGUUUUUGUUUGUUUGAGUUGGGUUUGGGGUCUAUUGUUUACCAGCCCAUUGCUUAAAAAAACAAAACUUGUCUAUUGGCCCAAAUUUAAGGUUGGGUUUGGGUCAAUUGACCCCACUUGACCUUAAGAGUAAAUAGCAGGGUUUGGGGGGAUAAUUUAGGUAAUUGACUUAAGGAAUCUCUUUGUAACUGAAUUGGAAGCUUCUGGGAAGCUGAUCUUGGGGUUGCUUUAAUAAAAGGAAAACUAGAUAAGGUUGUCUAAGCAAAAAAGAAAAUUGAAAAAGGGCUGAAUUGCGAAAUCUAAUUCUUAAGUCUGCCCUACUAUGCUUGCCUAUAAAGGCACAUUAAACUUGCCUUUCAAGGUAGAGAUUUAAUGCCUAAAAAUCCAAAAAAAAUCAAAAACUGCUGAAAAUAUAUUGUUUCAUCCAUUAGGAAACGCAUUGAAUUAAAAUGUGCUCAAAUUAUGUGUGCUUGAGUAAAUACGUAUGGCUAGUUGCUGCGUGUCUUGGUCUUCGCGUAUGAUAUGGUUCAGUUAAUUAGUAAUGUUCGUAGAGUAAGCCUUAAGGCCUUCUAAAACAUAAUCGUAGUUAUGUAUACAUUCACAUAACAUGACCAUGAUUCUAAAACCAACUCGGAGUAUGCGCUCGCGCAACUUCGAUAAAACUUUUGUUAAUAGUAAAAUGGUUGUUAUUAGACCACUAAUUUAAUCUAGUCUAUAUCCCGAGGUGUUCCAUCAACCAUCUUAUCAUAUAUGGAUCUUGUAUUAACUUAUAUAUAAAAAUGAUAAAAGUUUGUAGUUUGCUUUAGGCGUAUUUAAUAUACAAUUGUGAUUGUGGACACGUUCGCGUGACAUGAUUGCGAUUUCUUAAAACAAAACCAGAGUAUGCGUUCGCGCAAAUUCGGCCAAACUUUCUUAAUAAUAAUAAAGUGCUAUUAAUUGUGGAUACGUUCGUGUGACAUGAUUUUGACGCGCCGAACAAAUGGGUACACGUAUGCGUGACCCAUUUUAAGAUAAUUUUUCUUAUUUAAAAACAGUAAGAAGUAAAUUCGCGUAGGUUCUAAAAUCGGUUUAAACAAAUUGAUAAGCCAAGUAUGAUCAAAGCGACCGUACGAGAACCACGGAACUCGGGAAUACAUAACACCUUCUUUCGGGUUAACAGAAGUUCUUAUCUGGAUUUCUGUGUUCGCAUACAUUAAUAUAGACUCAAACUUCCUCGAAUCGAAUUUCUAAACCGGUGACUUGGGACACCAUAAAUCUCCCAAGUGGCGACUCUGAUUCUAAAAUAAUAAUCUCAUUUCAAUUGUCACAUAAAUUGAAAAAACUCCUUUACACCCUUCUCGAGGAUAGGAAAAAAGAGGUGUGACAGUGCUAAAUGGGCCUUAUAGGAUGGCCACUCAUAAACUGACCCAUGUCCCCAAACGUGUUACACCUCAUAUUUCGUACGUAAAAGAGUGCCGUAAGGAAACUAAUGUAAGAUUAAAAAUGAGAUCAUCUUGGAAAGUACAUAAGGUAAGUUACUUAGUUACCUCGAAGGUUACAAAUAUUGAAGAUCAUGAACAAUAAGUAUAAAUAGGUUUAGAUGGUUCAGAAGCUAAAGGAAUUGAAGAAACUAAUAUUUCGUCAAAAGUGGACAAGUUGGAAAUUUUAUAACCCGUACCUCCGGUUAACAAAAGUGUAAGACUGUACAGACUGUUAGCUGAUAAGUAUGCGUCACCUACUUGUUAAAUAAUAGGAUUAAAUAUGUCCAAAAAGGGGCUAUUCUGGGUCAGUCAAAGAGCCAUUUUAAGGGCUUAUCUCCUGAAAUAUAAUACUCAUUAUACAGAAAAAUAACCAAAGAUAAGCCCCUACAAAAAUCCUCCCAAAAAUUGAACACAAACCCUAAUUGAUUUUCUCACAUUUUCAAAUUCUAGUUGGAGGAAAACCUGGGUUUGGAGAACCAAGAUAGGAGCUGAGAUAUUCAACAAAUAAGGUAAGUUUAUUGCUCUCUUUUAUCCAUUUUUUCUGUUGUAAAUGUAUGAAAAUUCGUUCUAUAAUCGUAAGAACUCACGAGAUGGUGAGCGUAAGUCGUGAGUUCGAGUUAUUCAACUUGUAAUGGACUGUUUUGUGGGCUAUUUCGUGUUGCUGUUGGAUUUUGUGAUUUGAUACUGUUUUAGGGAGUUUUGGAGGAUAAAGGGUGCGGAUACAUAUCACAUAAAUGCAGGGUCGUGGGUUGGUCGUUCAUCGUAAUAUUUUUGGGAUGUUUGACACUACUACGAUGGUCAUUUUGUGUAUGAAGAGAUUGGGGUGUGUUGGGCUGUUUUAUAGUAUUUUGUGGUGUAUAUAAGGUUGAAAAAUAAUGUGUGUAUAUAUACAUAUAUAUGUGUGUGUUUGUGUGUGUGUAUGUGUGUGUUCUUGUGUUGUUGGUGUUAUCUGUGAGCACGUGAUUUUGCCUUAUAUGAAUUACUCCCAUAAUUUCAAAGCAAAAUAAAUUUCUUUUCAUCAUUUUCAAUUUUAUGGAUUUUUUGGCAUUGUUUGUUAAUUGUUGCAUUUAUUUGCGAAUUUUCAUUUUUAUUUUUUAUUAAUGGAAAAUACAACAAAAAUAUAUUGCACCUGCAUUUAGGAUUUAACUUUAUAUUUUUGGUAAUUAAGUUGUUUUCAUAAAAUGGAAAAUCACCAAAAAAAGAUUUAUUUUACAUUUUAGCUUUAAUUUUGAAUUUUGGGUAGUUGGUCCUUUAAUUUGGUUCAGUUAAUAUUGGUAAUUGUGAGUUAACUAAUUAAAGUGGUUAGGUUAAUUUGUGUUAUUUUCUUGUUUUGUUAAAUUUUGAAAAAAAACGAAAAGAAAAAGAAAAGAAAGAAAAAAAAAGCAUUGAAAAGAAUUGGAAACAAAAGAAUGCGAUCAGAUUUGAGCCAGCCUUUGAAUUAAUUCCCCAUCCCAAACCUUCAACCCCUGAAACCCGUUAAGCCAAGCCCAAUCUGUCCCCUGACCCGUCACCUUAACUUCCCAACUCAAAAAGACCCCAUUUCCAUGCCCAGUGAUCUCAUCCAUCGAGGUUGGCCCAAUCCAACGGAUGGGAAGUGAUUUAUGCUUUUGCGUUUAACUAUCGGAUUAGGUUCCCCCCCCCCCCAAUUUCUGUCUCUCCCAGUCGCCCUUGUCACACCUCCUUUUUCACUACACCCGCAAGGGCAUAAAGAAGUUUUUUCAAUUAAAGGACAAUCAAAACGGAAUUUAUUAUUAAGAUUUCAGUGUCGCCACUUGGGAAAUUAAUGGUGUCCCAAGUCACCAGUUGAAUCCCGAACCGAGGAAAAUAUCACUCUAUUAACAGUCUGUGAACCAGAAAUUCGGGUAAGAAAUUUUGUUAAUCCGGGAGAAGGUAUUAGCCAUUCCCGGGUUCCGUGGUUCUAGCACGGUCACUCAACUGUUGUAUUUGGGUUUAUCCGAUUUUAAUACGUGCUAACUUAUGUGCUUUUAUAGUUUUAAAACCGCUUUUAUUAUUAUUGUUAACGAGAAUUGCAACGUCGUGAAAAUAUGUCUCGAACCACGUUACAUCAAUGCAUCCGUAGUUGUUGACACAUUUCGACUUCGUUGAGAUUUGGAUUUGGGUCACAUAAAUGCGCACCCGCGUUUAGGAAAUUAAUAUUAUUAAAGUGCACUUAAAGUGACUAGCGUGUCAUUAUUUUGGGGAGGGCCGUGAAAUUCGCUAAACGGCCCAUCCGAAUUCUAAGGACAAAACAAGAUUAACCAAUAUUUUAAUUCAACUUCAAAUAAAUCUAAAGCACAAGCAAAGCAAUUAAAGGGGAAUAACUGGAGAACCAAUAUUUUAACAAAUCACAAAACAGAACGUCUAACUAGAGAGGAAUAACAACAGCAUCAACCAUUAAGAAGUAAAUAGCAUAAGGUGAAGGAACUGAACCUUUGAGCAAAAAUUCAUUCGAACUGAUUUAAAAAUCGACGACGGAUGAGCUCGAAUCGAGAAAACUGACAACUUCAACUGAAACUAGAUGGUAAAAUUCAACGAAAAUCUCGUGCCUCGAUGGCGCAGCAAAUUUGAACCCGACCCCUUCAAAUUCAGCCAACAAUGAACGGAUGAGGUCUUUAUUAAAGAGGCAUCAGCGUUUAACCCAGAUCUCGAGCGUCAAUGGAAAUUAAUAACCACCAUUGAAAUUAGAAAAAACAAACACAGUCAGAAUUCAACUUAUCUCCAAACUUUCAUAUCAACACAGAGUUUUACAAACUCAGCAACAGAGAUCCGAGUCAACAAAAUGGAACCUCGACUACGAUCUCACACGACUUUAACAGCCGAUUUUGAUACAAUUUGGUAGAAACUUAAAUUGAAAAUAGAGAAUAACGAUUUCAAAUCGAACUUCAACAGAAACUCAAAUAGAACCUCAUCACAUCAAUUGAACUCCAUUUUUAGACCGGAAAUUCAAAGAAACAGUAGCCCCUGUGUGUAUUUGCGUGUUGUUCAGCGGUUGAAAUCCAUGAGGAAGAUGAGGGAAAUCUCAUGGGGAAGGGCCCUGUUCUGGGUGGAGAUGGGGUGGUAUUGGCGUGGAGGUCUGGAGAUGCUGAUAUUGGAGAGGAGGGGUCUCGAUGGGUGUUCAAAAUGAAGAAGGAAGAAAAAUUUGAUGGGUCUCUCUCUGUGUGAUCCUGGAAAGAGGUGUUCUCGUUUAUUUGAAGGUCUUCGAAAUGGUGAAAACGAUAGGGUAGGGUCACGUUAUUUUCGUGCCUCUAACUCAGGUAGGGUCAAGCGGGUCCGGUAGGAAGAUUGGGC
RNAcentral lists this long non-coding RNA (9143 nucleotides) under Nicotiana benthamiana. RNAcentral describes it as "long non-coding RNA (NBEN_LNC011523)". The record is from RNAcentral. Lineage: Eukaryota; Viridiplantae; Streptophyta; Magnoliopsida; Solanales; Solanaceae.